UAGGGAAUCUUCGGCAAUGGGCGAAAGCCUGACGGAGCAACGCCGCGUGAGUGAAGAAGGUCUUCGGAUCGUAAAACUCUGUUAUUAGGGAAGAACAAAUGUGUAAGUAACUAUGCACGUCUUGACGGUACCUAAUCAGAAAGCCACGGCUAACUACGUGCCAGCAGCCGCGGUAAUACGUAGGUGGCAAGCGUUAUCCGGAAUUAUUGGGCGUAAAGCGCGCGUAGGCGGUUUUUUAAGUCUGAUGUGAAAGCCCACGGCUCAACCGUGGAGGGUCAUUGGAAACUGGAAAACUUGAGUGCAGAAGAGGAAAGUGGAAUUCCAUGUGUAGCGGUGAAAUGCGCAGAGAUAUGGAGGAACACCAGUGGCGAAGGCGACUUUCUGGUCUGUAACUGACGCUGAUGUGCGAAAGCGUGGGGAUCAAACAGG
Molecule: ribosomal RNA, 429 nt
Filed under: Actinomycetes bacterium
Lineage: Bacteria; Bacillati; Actinomycetota; Actinomycetes
Description: Actinobacteria bacterium partial 16S ribosomal RNA
Rfam family: Bacterial small subunit ribosomal RNA
Source: RNAcentral